CUUUCUAAAUGAGCAAUCUGCAUCAAGCCAGAGGAACGAGGAAGAAAGUGAGGUGCACCCUGACCUCAGAUGUCUGUCUUCCGUCAUCAGAGCAGUUUCUUGCUCUUCCGGACUCGGAUGGCCGUGUUAAACCCCACAUGUGGUUCUGUGGUUGCCCACAAAGCUUAAAAAUAGCCAACAGGAACAGGGGAAUCCCCACUGAUGAGGAAACUGAGCCUCUAAGAGAUGAAAUACCCCAUUUGAAGCUAAGGAGUGUGGAUCUCUCACCCCUACUGUGGCUUGUUUAUCUUGAGCUGGGGACACAAGAAAAAGAACAGGCCCUUCAGAGCCACAUAGACUUUGCUUCCAACUGCAGCCACCCUGGCCACUCCUGGUGGCCUCAGCUGUACCAUAGGGGCUGUGUUGCCCACUUGUAGGAGGAUUGUGGUGGGGAUCCAGGGAAAUAAGGCCCUUGGCACCCACAGCAGGUCCAUCACUGCUACCAGAACUCAGCGUACAGUUUCUGGCCUUCCACCACUUGAGACCAAGCUUCCAAAGUAGGAAGAGUGUGUCCCCCAUCAAAGAAGUGAAAGCACC
This 576-nucleotide long non-coding RNA is filed under the name Cricetulus griseus (Chinese hamster). Its description in RNAcentral is "lncRNA (ENSCGRG00015042436.1)". Lineage: Eukaryota; Metazoa; Chordata; Mammalia; Rodentia; Cricetidae. The record is from RNAcentral.